UACGUAGGGUGCGAGCGUUAAUCGGAAUUACUGGGCGUAAAGCGUGCGCAGGCGGCUUUGCAAGACAGAUGUGAAAUCCCCGGGCUCAACCUGGGAACUGCAUUUGUGACUGCAAGGCUAGAGUACGGCAGAGGGGGAUGGAAUUCCGCGUGUAGCAGUGAAAUGCGUAGAUCUGCGGAGGAACACCAAUGGCGAAGGCAAUCCCCUGGGCCUGUACUGACGCUCAUGCACGAAAGCGUGGGGAGCAAACAGG
RNAcentral lists this ribosomal RNA (253 nucleotides) under uncultured bacterium. RNAcentral describes it as "partial 16S ribosomal RNA". It matches the Rfam family "Bacterial small subunit ribosomal RNA", at positions 524 to 776 of the family's 1533-position model. The record is from RNAcentral.